AUUGAACGCUGGCGGCAGGCCUAACACAUGCAAGUCGGACGGUAGCACAGAGGAGCUUGCUCCUCGGGUGACGAGUGGCGGACGGGUGAGUAAUGUCUGGGGAUCUGCCCGAUAGAGGGGGAUAACCACUGGAAACGGUGGCUAAUACCGCAUAACGUCGCAAGACCAAAGAGGGGGACCUUCGGGCCUCUCACUAUCGGAUGAACCCAGAUGGGAUUAGCUAGUAGGCGGGGUAAUGGCCCACCUAGGCGACGAUCCCUAGCUGGUCUGAGGGGAUGACCAGCCACACUGGAACUGAGAGACGGUCCAGACUCCUACGGGAGGCAGCAGUGGGGAAUAUUGCACAAUGGGCGCAAGCCUGAUGCAGCCAUGCCGCGUGUAUGAAGAAGGCCUUCGGGUUGUAAAGUACUUUCAGCGGGGAGGAAGGCGAUAAGGUUAAUAACCUUGUCGAUUGACGUUACCCGCAGAAGAAGCACCGGCUAACUCCGUGCCAGCCGCCGCCGUAA
RNAcentral lists this ribosomal RNA (506 nucleotides) under uncultured bacterium. Its description in RNAcentral is "partial 16S ribosomal RNA". It matches the Rfam family "Bacterial small subunit ribosomal RNA", at positions 29 to 523 of the family's 1533-position model. The record is from RNAcentral.